GGGGGCCCGUUCGGGCCGGAAAUUCAAAAUUGUCGAAACGCUACGAAACUUUGCAGAUCCCUUCUAUGUGUUGUAAUUCGCGGCCGCGUCGACGGGCGAAAGGCCAGUCAAACCGGGAGAUAGCUGGUUCUCCCCGAAAGCUAUUUAGGUAGCGCCUCGUGAAUUCAUCUCCGGGGGUAGAGCACUGUUUCGGCAGGGGGGUCAUCCCGACUUACCAACCCGAUGCAAACUGCGAAUACCGGAGAAUGUUAUCACGGGAGACACACGGCGGGUGCUAACGUCCGUCGUGAAGAGGGAAACAACCCAGACCGCCAGCUAAGGUCCCAAAGUCAUGGUUAAGUGGGGAAACGAUGGUGGGGAAGGCCCAGACAGCCAGGAUGUUGGCUUAGAAGCAGCCAUCAUUUAAAGAAAGCGUAAUAGCUCACUAGUCGAGUCGGCCCGCGCGGAAGAUGUAACGGGGCUCAAACUAGGAGCCGAAGCUGCGGAUUUGAAUUUGUUUUCAAGUGGUAGGGGAGCGUUGUGUAAGCCUGUGAAGGUGUGUCGUAAGGCAUGCUGGAGGUAUCACAAGAGCGAAUGCUGACGUGAGUAACGAUAAUGCGAGUGAAAAGCUCGCACGCCGGA
Molecule: ribosomal RNA, 621 nt
Filed under: uncultured bacterium
Lineage: Bacteria
Description: bacterial LSU rRNA
Rfam family: Bacterial large subunit ribosomal RNA
Source: RNAcentral